UUCCUCCCAAAGCUAAGCCUUCAGAGGAAGAGGACAACUUUCCCUGAUAGAGAAGGACUAUUCUUGGGGCAAGGGUGUAGGAAUGGCUGUACUCACCUGCUAGAACCUCCAAAUGAGCUGUCAAAGUUGUUUCCAGAUUUAUAAUGUUCAAC
RNAcentral lists this small RNA (152 nucleotides) under Spermophilus dauricus (Daurian ground squirrel). RNAcentral describes it as "7SK RNA (ENSSDAG00000007070.1)". It matches the Rfam family "7SK RNA", at positions 116 to 268 of the family's 331-position model. From Rfam's summary of the family: 7SK was discovered as an abundant small nuclear RNA in the mid-70s but a possible function has only recently been suggested. Two independent studies have found that 7SK RNA binds the CDK9/cyclin T complex (known as elongation factor P-TEFb). P-TEFb activates transcription by phosphorylating the C-terminal domain of RNA polymerase II. Lineage: Eukaryota; Metazoa; Chordata; Mammalia; Rodentia; Sciuridae. The record is from RNAcentral.